AGCUUUGCACAGUGGCAGUAUCAUAAUCAAUGAUGUUAUACGAGGCAAAAUUAUUACUAAUUGAAAACUUUUCCCAAUACCCCGCCGUGACAACUUGGAAUAUAGUUGGCAUUGGCAAUUUUUGAUAUUCUCCACACAGA
This 140-nucleotide small nuclear RNA is filed under the name Moschus moschiferus (Siberian musk deer). Its description in RNAcentral is "U4 spliceosomal RNA (ENSMMSG00000013935.1)". It matches the Rfam family "U4 spliceosomal RNA". From Rfam's summary of the family: U4 small nuclear RNA (U4 snRNA) is a component of the major U2-dependent spliceosome. The record is from Rfam by way of RNAcentral. Lineage: Eukaryota; Metazoa; Chordata; Mammalia; Artiodactyla; Moschidae.